This 66-nucleotide transfer RNA is filed under the name Fukomys damarensis (Damara mole-rat). It matches the Rfam family "tRNA". Rfam says of the family: Transfer RNA (tRNA) molecules are approximately 80 nucleotides in length. Lineage: Eukaryota; Metazoa; Chordata; Mammalia; Rodentia; Bathyergidae. The record is from Rfam by way of RNAcentral.
GGUGUGGCUUAGUGGCAGAGCAUUUGUCUAGCAUGCAGGAGACACUGGGUUUAAUUCCCAGGACCA